This 334-nucleotide unclassified non-coding RNA is filed under the name soil metagenome. RNAcentral describes it as "partial contains 5.8S ribosomal RNA, internal transcribed spacer 2, and large subunit ribosomal RNA". The stretch from base 1 to 120 matches the Rfam family "5.8S ribosomal RNA", at positions 35 to 154 of the family's 154-position model. The record is from RNAcentral.
GAUGAAGAACGUAGCGAAAUGCGAUAAGUAAUGUGAAUUGCAGAAUUCAGUGAAUCAUCGAAUCUUUGAACGCACACUGCGCCCGCCAGUAUUCUGGCGGGCAUGCCUGUUCGAGCGUCAUUUCAACCAUCAAGCCCUGCUUGCGUUGGGGUCCUGCGGCUGCCCGCAGGCCCUGAAAACCAGUGGCGGGCUCGCUAGUCGCACCGAGCGCAGUAAUACAUCUCGCUUUGGGCGUGCGGCGGGUUCUUGCCGUUAAACACCCCCUUUUUACCAAGGUUGACCUCGGAUCAGGUAGGAAUACCCGCUGAACUUAAGCAUAUCAAUAAGCGGAGGA